AUUGAACGCUGGCGGCAGGCCUAACACAUGCAAGUCGAACGGUAACAGGAAACAGCUUGCUGUUUCGCUGACGAGUGGCGGACGGGUGAGUAAUGUCUGGGAAACUGCCUGAUGGAGGGGGAUAACCACUGGAAACGGUAGCUAAUACCGCAUAACGUCGCAAGACCAAAGAGGGGGACCUUCGGGCCUCUUGCCAUCGGAUGUGCCCAGAUGGGAUUAGCUAGUAGGUGGGGUAACGGCUCACCUAGGCGACGAUCCCUAGCUGGUCUGAGAGGAUGACCAGCCACACUGGAACUGAGACACGGUCCAGGCUCCUACGGGAGGCAGCAGUGGGGAAUAUUGCACAAUGGGCGCAAGCCUGAUGCAGCCAUGCCGCGUGUAUGAAGAAGGCCUUCGGGUUGUAAAGUACUUUCAGCGGGGAUGAAGGGAGUAAAGUUAAUACCUUUGCUCAUUGACGUUACCCGCAGAAGAAGCACCGGCUAACUCCGUG
Molecule: ribosomal RNA, 490 nt
Filed under: uncultured bacterium
Lineage: Bacteria
Description: partial 16S ribosomal RNA
Rfam family: Bacterial small subunit ribosomal RNA
Source: RNAcentral